GGCGAACGCUGGCGGCGUGCUUAACACAUGCAAGUCGAACGGAAAGGCCCUGCUUUUGUGGGGUGCUCGAGUGGCGAACGGGUGAGUAACACGUGAGUAACCUGCCCUUGACUUUGGGAUAACUUCAGGAAACUGGGGCUAAUACCGGAUAGGAGCUCCUGCUGCAUGGUGGGGGUUGGAAAGUUUCGGCGGUUGGGGAUGGACUCGCGGCUUAUCAGCUUGUUGGUGGGGUAGUGGCUUACCAAGGCUUUGACGGGUAGCCGGCCUGAGAGGGUGACCGGCCACAUUGGGACUGAGAUACGGCCCAGACGCCUACGGGAGGCAGCAGUGGGGAAUAUUGCACAAUGGGCGGAAGCCUGAUGCAGCAACGCCGCGUGCGGGAUGACGGCCUUCGGGUUGGAAACCGCUUUCGCCUGUGACGAAGCGUGAGUGACGGUAAUGGGUAAAGAAGCACCGGCUAACUACGUG
This 468-nucleotide ribosomal RNA is filed under the name uncultured bacterium. RNAcentral describes it as "partial 16S ribosomal RNA". It matches the Rfam family "Bacterial small subunit ribosomal RNA", at positions 28 to 507 of the family's 1533-position model. The record is from RNAcentral.